CAGUGAUGUGUUGAGCUAACCCAUACUAAUUACCCGUGAGGCUUAACCAUACAACACCCAAGAAGUGUUCUG
This 72-nucleotide ribosomal RNA is filed under the name Aeromonas salmonicida. Its description in RNAcentral is "partial 23S ribosomal RNA". Lineage: Bacteria; Pseudomonadati; Pseudomonadota; Gammaproteobacteria; Aeromonadales; Aeromonadaceae. RNAcentral also lists the same sequence under 1 other name. The record is from RNAcentral.